UAAGGAAUAUUGGUCAAUGGACGCAAGUCUGAACCAGCUAUGCCGCGUGAAGGAUUAAGGUCCUCUGGAUUGUAAACUUCUUUUAUCUGGGACGAAAAAAGGUCUUUCUAGGCUUCUUGACGGUACCAGAUGAAUAAGCACCGGCUAACUCCGUGCCAGCAGCCGCGGUAAUACGGAGGGUGCAAGCGUUAUCCGGAUUCACUGGGUUUAAAGGGUGCGUAGGCGGGCAGGUAAGUCAGUGGUGAAAUCCUGGAGCUCAACUCCAGAACUGCCAUUGAUACUAUCUGUCUUGAAUAUUGUGGAGGUAAGCGGAAUAUGUCAUGUAGCGGUGAAAUGCUUAGAUAUGACAUAGAACACCCAUUGCGAAGGCAGCUUACUACGCAUAUAUUGACGCUGAGGCACGAAAGCGUGGGGAUCAAACAGGAUUAGAUACCCUGGUAGUCCACGCCCUAAACGAUGGAUACUCGACAUACGCGAUACACUGUGUGUGUCUGAGCGAAAGCAUUAAGUAUCCCACCUGGGAAGUACGUUCGCAAGAAUG
RNAcentral lists this ribosomal RNA (541 nucleotides) under uncultured prokaryote. Its description in RNAcentral is "bacterial SSU rRNA". It matches the Rfam family "Bacterial small subunit ribosomal RNA", at positions 355 to 896 of the family's 1533-position model. The record is from RNAcentral.